UGGUGGAGUGAUUUGUCUGGUUAAUUCCGUUAACGAACGAGACCUCAGCCUGCUUUUGUAGUUGAGCGCACCUUGGUGUGUUUUGACUUCUUAGAGGGACAAUGGAUUUUGUAGUCCAUGGAAGUUUGAGGCAAUAACA
RNAcentral lists this ribosomal RNA (139 nucleotides) under uncultured eukaryote. RNAcentral's name for it is "partial 18S ribosomal RNA". It matches the Rfam family "Eukaryotic small subunit ribosomal RNA", at positions 1299 to 1458 of the family's 1831-position model. The record is from RNAcentral.